GUAAUGAUACUCCUGUCCAGCCACAGCCACAAGCAGUGGGGGCAGCUCGGAGAGAUCCUCGGAGGGGUGAGAUUCCCGUGA
This is a non-coding RNA of Lachnospiraceae bacterium 7_1_58FAA, 81 nucleotides long. The record is from Rfam. NCBI's taxonomy places the organism in Bacteria, Bacillati, Bacillota, Clostridia, Lachnospirales, Lachnospiraceae.